Molecule: ribosomal RNA, 568 nt
Filed under: Termitomyces sp.
Lineage: Eukaryota; Fungi; Basidiomycota; Agaricomycetes; Agaricales; Lyophyllaceae
Description: partial 28S ribosomal RNA
Source: RNAcentral
UUGACCUCAAAUCAGGUAGGACUACCCGCUGAACUUAAGCAUAUCAAUAAGCGGAGGAAAAGAAACUAACAAGGAUUCCCCUAGUAACUGCGAGUGAAGCGGGAAAAGCUCAAAUUUAAAAUCUGGYUAGCUUCGCUGCCCGAGUUGUAAUCUAGAGAAGCAUUAUCAGCGCUCGCGGCGUGUAUAAGUGUCCUGGAAUGGACCAUCAUAGAGGGUGACAAUCCCGUCUUUGACACGGCUGCCUUUAGUGCUAUUGAUGUGCUCUCRACGAGUCGAGUUGUUUGGGAAUGCAGCUCUAAAUGGGUGGUAAGUUCCAUCUAAAGCUAAAUAUUGGCGAGAGACCGAUAGCGAACAAGUACCGUGAGGGAAAGAUGAAAAGRACUUUGGAAAGAGAGUUAAACAGUACGUGAAAUUGCUGAAAGGGAAACGCUUGAAGUCGGUCGCGUUGGUUGGGUAAUCGAGAAAUCAACCUUGCUUUCUAAAAGCUUGGCUUAUUUCCCAGCUGACGGGCCAGCAUCAGUUUUGACCGGUGGAUAAAGGCCAAGGGAAUGUGGCACCUCUUGGGUGU